RNAcentral lists this ribosomal RNA (439 nucleotides) under uncultured bacterium. RNAcentral describes it as "partial 16S ribosomal RNA". It matches the Rfam family "Bacterial small subunit ribosomal RNA", at positions 339 to 795 of the family's 1533-position model. The record is from RNAcentral.
CUACGGGAGGCAGCAGUGAGGAAUAUUGCACAAUGGGGGGAACCCUGAUGCAGCAACGCCGCGUGGAGGAUGACGCAUUUCGGUGUGUAAACUCCUUUUAUAUGUCAAGAAAAUGACGGUAGCAUAUGAAUAAGCACCGGCUAACUCCGUGCCAGCAGCCGCGGUAAUACGGAGGGUGCAAGCGUUACUCGGAAUCACUGGGCGUAAAGGACGCGUAGGCGGGUUGGAAAGUCAGGUGUGAAAUACUACAGCUUAACUGUAGAACUGCACUUGAAACUUCUAAUCUAGAGUAUGGGAGGGGGAGAUGGAAUUAGUGGUGUAGGGGUAAAAUCCGUAGAUAUCACUAGGAAUACCGAAAGCGAAGGCGAUCUCCUGGAACAUUACUGACGCUAAGGCGUGAAAGCGUGGGGAGCAAACAGGAUUAGAUACCCGGGUAGUC